GUGGAAACAUUGACUAUGACUAACCACAACAGACAUGCAACGAAGCAAGAAAGAGGAAUCUCAUUGGACAUACCCGUACCCGAGUCAUUCGGAAGCGGCCGCUUCCAGACUACUACCACUGUAGAUACG
Molecule: non-coding RNA, 129 nt
Filed under: Palpitomonas bilix
Lineage: Eukaryota
Source: RNAcentral